Molecule: ribosomal RNA, 724 nt
Filed under: uncultured bacterium
Lineage: Bacteria
Description: bacterial SSU rRNA
Rfam family: Bacterial small subunit ribosomal RNA
Source: RNAcentral
GAUGAACGCUGACAGAAUGCUUAACACAUGCAAGUCUACUUGAUCCUUCGGGUGAUGGUGGCGGACGGGUGAGUAACGCGUAAAGAACUUGCCCUGCAGUCUGGGACAACAUUUGGAAACGAAUGCUAAUACCGGAUAUUAUGUGAGUUUCGCAUGAAAUUCAUAUGAAAGCUAUAUGCGCUGCAGGAGAGCUUUGCGUCCUAUUAGCUAGUUGGUGAGGUAACGGCUCACCAAGGCGAUGAUAGGUAGCCGGCCUGAGAGGGUGAACGGCCACAAGGGGACUGAGACACGGCCCUUACUCCUACGGGAGGCAGCAGUGGGGAAUAUUGGACAAUGGACCAAAAGUCUGAUCCAGCAAUUCUGUGUGCACGAUGAAGUUUUUCGGAAUGUAAAGUGCUUUCAGUUGGGACGAAGUAAGUGACGGUACCAACAGAAGAAGCGACGGCUAAAUACGUGCCAGCAGCCGCGGUAAUACGUAUGUCGCAAGCGUUAUCCGGAUUUAUUGGGCGUAAAGCGCGUCUAGGCGGUUUGGUAAGUCUGAUGUGAAAAUGCGGGGCUCAACUCCGUAUUGCGUUGGAAACUGCCAAACUAGAGUACUGGAGAGGUGGGCGGAACUACAAGUGUAGAGGUGAAAUUCGUAGAUAUUUGUAGGAAUGCCGAUGGGGAAGCCAGCCCACUGGACAGAUACUGACGCUAAAGCGCGAAAACGUGGGUAGCAAACAGG